GUGGUCCUACGGGGGGCAGCAGUGGGGGAUAUUGCACAAUGGGGGGAACCCUGAUGCAGCGACGCCGCGUGGGUGAAGGAGCGUUUCGGCGCGUAAAGCCCUAUCGGCAGGGAAGAAGAUAACGGUACCUGACCAAGAAGCCCCGGCUAACUACGUGCCAGCAGCCGCGGUAAUACGUAGGGGGCAAGCGUUAUCCGGAUUUACUGGGUGUAAAGGGGGCGCAGACGGCAAUGCAAGCCAUGCGUGAAA
This 249-nucleotide ribosomal RNA is filed under the name uncultured bacterium. Its description in RNAcentral is "partial 16S ribosomal RNA". It matches the Rfam family "Bacterial small subunit ribosomal RNA", at positions 333 to 599 of the family's 1533-position model. The record is from RNAcentral.